This 395-nucleotide ribosomal RNA is filed under the name uncultured Methanosaeta sp. RNAcentral's name for it is "bacterial SSU rRNA". It matches the Rfam family "Archaeal small subunit ribosomal RNA", at positions 943 to 1338 of the family's 1478-position model. The record is from RNAcentral. Lineage: Archaea; Methanobacteriati; Methanobacteriota; Methanomicrobia; Methanotrichales; Methanotrichaceae.
CAAUAUGAAGGCCAGGCUGAAGACUUUGCCGGAUUAGCUGAGAGGUGGUGCAUGGCCGUCGUCAGUUCGUACUGUGAAGCAUCCUGUUAAGUCAGGCAACGAGCGAGACCCACGCCCACAGUUGCCAGCGUACUCUCUGGAGUGACGGGUACACUGUGGGGACCGCCGCUGCUAAAGCGGAGGAGGAAUGGGCAACGGUAGGUCAGUAUGCCCCGAAUAUCCCGGGCUACACGCGAGCUACAAUGGUUGGUACAAUGGGUAUCUACCCCGAAAGGGGACGGGAAUCUCCUAAAACCAAUCUUAGUUCGGAUUGUGGGCUGCAACUCGCCCACAUGAAGCUGGAAUCUGUAGUAAUCGUGUCUCAAAAUGGCACGGUGAAUAUGUCCCUGCUCCUU